RNAcentral lists this ribosomal RNA (253 nucleotides) under uncultured bacterium. RNAcentral's name for it is "partial 16S ribosomal RNA". It matches the Rfam family "Bacterial small subunit ribosomal RNA", at positions 524 to 776 of the family's 1533-position model. The record is from RNAcentral.
UACGUAGGGGGCGAGCGUUAUCCAGAUUUACUGGGCGUAAAGCGCGUGUAGGCGGUUUGUCGCGUCUGCUGUGAAAAUCCGGGGCUCAACCCCGGACUUGCAGUGGGUACGGGCAGACUAGAGUGUGGUAGGGGAGACUGGAAUUCCUGGUGUAGCGGUGAAAUGCGCAGAUAUCAGGAGGAACACCGAUGGCGAAGGCAGGUCUCUGGGCCACUACUGACGCUGAGACGCGAAAGCGUGGGGAGCGAACCGG